AAUUCGAAGCAACGCGAAGAACUUACCAGGCCUUGACAUGCAGAGAACUUUCCAGAGAUGGAUUGGUGCCUUCGGGAACUCUGACACAGGUGCUGCAUGGCUGUCGUCAGCUCGUGUCGUGAGAUGUUGGGUUAAGUCCCGUAACGAGCGCAACCCUUGCCUUAGUUACCAGCACGUUAUGGUGGGCACUCUAAGGAGACUGCCGGUGACAAACCGGAGGAAGGUGGGGAUGACGUCAAGUCAUCAUGGCCCUCACGGCCUGGGCUACACACGUGCUACAAUGGUCGGUACAAAGGGUUGCCAAGCCGCGAGGUGGAGCUAAUCCCAUAAAACCGAUCGUAGUCCGGAUCGCAGUCUGCAACUCGACUGCGUGAAGUCGGAAUCGCUAGUAAUCGUGAAUCAGAAUGUCACGGUGAAUACGUUCCCGGGCCUU
Molecule: ribosomal RNA, 433 nt
Filed under: uncultured Pseudomonas sp.
Lineage: Bacteria; Pseudomonadati; Pseudomonadota; Gammaproteobacteria; Pseudomonadales; Pseudomonadaceae
Description: bacterial SSU rRNA
Rfam family: Bacterial small subunit ribosomal RNA
Source: RNAcentral